Molecule: non-coding RNA, 107 nt
Organism: Gossypium arboreum
Lineage: Eukaryota; Viridiplantae; Streptophyta; Magnoliopsida; Malvales; Malvaceae
Source: Rfam
AACCCAUGAUAAGGGCACCUUAUCAAUAGAUCUUUACAUCUCUCCCAUGCAUCAUAUAAUGUCUUCCAGUCAAUUUAAGCAAAAGAAGAUAUGUCAUUCCUCAACUU